GGAGGGAUGCUCGAGGGGUCGAAGAGGGCGGCUUGCUAAGCCGUAGCCGGGCUGUUGAGGCUCGGCCGUGGGUUCGAAUCCCACUCCCUCCGCCA
Molecule: transfer RNA, 95 nt
Filed under: Candidatus Acetothermia bacterium
Lineage: Bacteria; Candidatus Bipolaricaulota
Description: tRNA-Ser
Rfam family: tRNA
About the family: Transfer RNA (tRNA) molecules are approximately 80 nucleotides in length. Their secondary structure includes four short double-helical elements and three loops (D, anti-codon, and T loops). Further hydrogen bonds mediate the characteristic L-shaped molecular structure. tRNAs have two regions of fundamental functional importance: the anti-codon, which is responsible for specific mRNA codon recognition, and the 3' end, to which the tRNAs corresponding amino acid is attached (by aminoacyl-tRNA synthetases). tRNAs cope with the degeneracy of the genetic code in two manners: having more than one tRNA (with a specific anti-codon) for a particular amino acid; and 'wobble' base-pairing, i.e. permitting non-standard base-pairing at the 3rd anti-codon position.
Source: RNAcentral